RNAcentral lists this ribosomal RNA (450 nucleotides) under uncultured bacterium. RNAcentral describes it as "partial 16S ribosomal RNA". It matches the Rfam family "Bacterial small subunit ribosomal RNA", at positions 354 to 796 of the family's 1533-position model. The record is from RNAcentral.
GUAGGGAAUCUUCCACAAUGGACGAAAGUCUGAUGGAGCAACGCCGCGUGAGUGAAGAAGGUCUUCGGAUCGUAAAACUCUGUUGUUAGAGAAGAACGUGCGUGAUAGUAACUGAUCAUGUAAUGACGGUAUCUAACCAGAAAGCCACGGCUAACUACGUGCCAGCAGCCGCGGUAAUACGUAGGUGGCAAGCGUUGUCCGGAUUUAUUGGGCGUAAAGGGAACGCAGGCGGUUUUUUAAGUCUGAUGUGAAAGCCUUCGGCUUAACCGAAGAAUAGCAUUGGAAACUGGAAGACUUGAGUGCAGAAGAGGAGAGUGGAAUUCCAUGUGUAGCGGUGAAAUGCGUAGAUAUAUGGAGGAACACCAGUGGCGAAAGCGGCUCUCUGGUCUGUAACUGACGCUGAGGUUCGAAAGCGUGGGUAGCAAACAGGAUUAGAAACCCCAGUAGUCC